UGAGGAAUAUUGGACAAUGGAGGCAACUCUGAUCCAGCCAUGCCGCGUGCAGGAAGACGGCCCUAUGGGUUGUAAACUGCUUUUAUACAGGAAGAAACGUUAGUACGUGUACUAGCCUGACGGUACUGUAAGAAUAAGGAUCGGCUAACUCCGUGCCAGCAGCCGCGGUAAUACGGAGGAUCCAAGCGUUAUCCGGAAUCAUUGGGUUUAAAGGGUCCGCAGGCGGUCUGAUAAGUCAGAGGUGAAAUCCUAUCGCUCAACGAUAGAACUGCCUUUGAUACUGUUAGACUUGAGUUAUUGUGAAGUAGUUAGAAUGUGUAGUGUAGCGGUGAAAUGCAUAGAUAUUACACAGAAUACCGAUUGCGAAGGCAGAUUACUAACAAUAUACUGACGCUCAUGGACGAAAGCGUGGGUAGCGAACAGG
RNAcentral lists this ribosomal RNA (424 nucleotides) under uncultured bacterium. Its description in RNAcentral is "bacterial SSU rRNA". It matches the Rfam family "Bacterial small subunit ribosomal RNA", at positions 355 to 776 of the family's 1533-position model. The record is from RNAcentral.